RNAcentral lists this microRNA precursor (94 nucleotides) under Guillardia theta CCMP2712. RNAcentral's name for it is "microRNA mir-598". Lineage: Eukaryota; Cryptophyceae; Pyrenomonadales; Geminigeraceae. The record is from RNAcentral.
CCGUGAUGAUGAUGGAGAUGAUGAUGAUGAUGAUGAUGAUGAUGAUGAUGAUGUCGCUCAUUACCUUUGCCAUGCAUCACCUUCUUUUCAGGCA